This is a transfer RNA of Cavia porcellus (domestic guinea pig), 64 nucleotides long. It matches the Rfam family "tRNA". From Rfam's summary of the family: Transfer RNA (tRNA) molecules are approximately 80 nucleotides in length. Their secondary structure includes four short double-helical elements and three loops (D, anti-codon, and T loops). NCBI's taxonomy places the organism in Eukaryota, Metazoa, Chordata, Mammalia, Rodentia, Caviidae. The record is from Rfam.
GGGGAUUUAGCUCAGCGGCAUAAGCGCCUGCCUUGCAAGCAGGCAGUCCUGAGUUCAAUCCCCA